This 407-nucleotide ribosomal RNA is filed under the name uncultured bacterium. RNAcentral describes it as "partial 16S ribosomal RNA". It matches the Rfam family "Bacterial small subunit ribosomal RNA", at positions 30 to 526 of the family's 1533-position model. The record is from RNAcentral.
AUUGAACGCUGGCGGCAGGCCUAACACAUGCAAGUCGAGCGGAGCGGCGGACGGGCGAGUAAUGCCUAGGUAUCUGCCUGGUAGUGGGGGAUAACGUCCGGCAACGGGCGCUAACACCGCAUACUAUCAGACGAGCCUAGGGUGGAUUAGCUAGUUGGUGGGGUAAAUGCCUACAAAGGCGACGAUCCGUAGCUGGUCUGAGAGGAUGAUCAGUCACACUGGAACUGAGACACGGUCCAGACUCCUACGGGAGGCAGCAGUGGGGAAUAUUGGACAAUGGGCGAAAGCCUGAUGCAGCCAUGCCGCGUGUGUGAAGAAGGUCUUCGGGUUGUAAAGCACUUUAAGUUGGGAGGCGUUACCAGCAGAAUAAGCACCGGCUAACUUCGUGCCAGCAGCCGCGGUAAUUC